This 382-nucleotide ribosomal RNA is filed under the name uncultured bacterium. Its description in RNAcentral is "bacterial SSU rRNA". It matches the Rfam family "Bacterial small subunit ribosomal RNA", at positions 30 to 414 of the family's 1533-position model. The record is from RNAcentral.
AUUGAACGCUGGCGGCAUGCCUUACACAUGCAAGUCGAACGGCAGCGGGCCUUCGGGUGCCGGCGAGUGGCGAACGGGUGAGUAAUGCAUCGGAACGUGCCAUUGAGUGGGGGAUAACGUAGCGAAAGUUACGCUAAUACCGCAUAUUCUGUGAGCAGGAAAGCAGGGGACCGCAAGGCCUUGCGCUCUUUGGGCGGCCGAUGUCAGAUUAGCUAGUUGGUGAGGUAAAGGCUUACCAAGGCGACGAUCUGUAGCGGGUCUGAGAGGAUGAUCCGCCACACUGGAACUGAGACACGGUCCAGACUCCUACGGGAGGCAGCAGUGGGGAAUUUUGGACAAUGGGCGCAAGCCUGAUCCAGCCAUGCCGCGUGAGUGAAGAAGG